GGAAGACAUAUUUUUUCAGAAAAAAUCAGCAUAAACAUCAAUAUCCAAACAAUCUGAGAUAUCGAAGAAACUUGAAAUAAAAUCACCUCAACUCAACACAACGAUAGCAGAAGAAGUUCAAAAACAAAACGAACAGAAAGAGGGAGAGGAAUAUACCGUGAUCGAUAUCCCGUCGGAGUUGUCGUCGUCAAUUUGAGGUGGUUUUCAUUUCUUCCUGUCUUUUGCUUCGAUAUUGUUGUUGCUUGAUAUCGUUUCAGAUAAUAUUGUCCAUAUCAUAUCUUUGCUUGUGUGAGGAACGAGUUUAGGUGUCGGUUUUGAAUCGGCUAACAAUAUUUCCAACUUUUGUAUGAUUCUGUGAUCUAUUUGAGAUGAGAGAGAUUUAGAGAAGAGAGAGAAGAGAGAAGGCGAUUAAACAAGGAAAUGUUUGAUAUUUCAUGUGGUUUCAUUACUUUUUAUUAUUAUUUUAUUUUCCUUCUUUUAAUAUCUUUUAAAUAUUCAUUUGUCAUAAUUGUGUUAAAUAUUGAUUUAGUGCUAAUUAAAAUAUGAAUUCAUCAAUGUUUUUUUUAUGGGAAGAAGAGCUCACGGUGGACGGUUGGUUUCCAUCUUCUUUAACGUUUUUAUUUAUUUUCUAUCAAUUAAUGUAUUGAUCGAUGAUAAUCAAAAAAUAUGACUUCUUUUUUUUAGGAAAAUUUAAGUUUUAACAGAAAAAAUAGAUAU
Molecule: long non-coding RNA, 717 nt
Filed under: Lathyrus oleraceus (garden pea)
Lineage: Eukaryota; Viridiplantae; Streptophyta; Magnoliopsida; Fabales; Fabaceae
Description: Pisum sativum (pea) long non-coding RNA (PSAT_LNC025056)
Source: RNAcentral